RNAcentral lists this ribosomal RNA (585 nucleotides) under uncultured bacterium. RNAcentral's name for it is "bacterial SSU rRNA". It matches the Rfam family "Bacterial small subunit ribosomal RNA", at positions 338 to 918 of the family's 1533-position model. The record is from RNAcentral.
CCUACGGGAGGCAGCAGUGAGGAAUAUUGGACAAUGGACGAAAGUCUGAUCCAGCUAUGCCGCGUGCAGGAUGACGGCCCUAUGGGUUGUAAACUGCUUUUAUACAGGAAGAAAAACUCCGACGUGUCGGAACUUGACGGUACUGUAAGAAUAAGGAUCGGCUAACUCCGUGCCAGCAGCCGCGGUAAUACGGAGGAUCCAAGCGUUAUCCGGAAUCAUUGGGUUUAAAGGGUCCGUAGGCGGUUUUUUAAGUCAGAGGUGAAAUCCUGCAGCUCAACUGUAGAAUUGCCUUUGAUACUGAAAGACUUGAGUUAUUGUGAAGUGGUUAGAAUGUGUGGUGUAGCGGUGAAAUGCAUAGAUAUCGCACAGAAUACCAAUUGCGAAGGCAGAUCACUAACAAUAUACUGACGCUCAGGGACGAAAGCGUGGGUAGCGAACAGGAUUAGAUACCCUGGUAGUCCACGCCGUAAACGAUGGAUACUAGCUGUAUGUCUACUUCAGGUAGAUGUGUGGCUAAGCGAAAGUGAUAAGUAUCCCACCUGGGGAGUACGAUCGCAAGAUUGAAACUCAAAGGAAUUGACGGAA